AACACUUUUUGUUUUGACAUUUGACCUUUCUAAGUUACUUUUUUUUUUUGUCGUCUGAAAAUUUAUUAUAGAGAUUCCGGUGAAAUACAAAAGUGAAAUAUAAAGCCGGCGGUUAACAAGUAACACCAGAAAACUAAGCCGACGAUUAAAAGGAUAGUCUUGGAAGCAAAACCCAAAGGAAAGGGAGACAACAAGGCAAAACAAACCUUACAAACAAAGCAAAGUUGCGAAACUGAAACAAAGAAGCAGACCAAAACAACCAAAAUUUUAAACACAACAUCUCGUCAACCACAUUACCAGACAAAGGAAAGGCAGAGCUUUACAACAAGCCACUCCGUAGGAGACAAGGAACUCCCAACCAAACGGACAGCGGUGCCACCUAUUACGAUGAAGACUACCUUACAUAGAAGAGUUCCAAGGAAUCCAUACCGGCGAGAAGAACUAGGCCAAAGACGACAAGUCACACCUACACUCCCGGAAUCGGCGAAUUAAAGAAUAUGAUUGUUUAGCGCCUCGAAGGAAACCAGCCAAUGAACAGAUGAGAUCUCGAUCAGAUCUUUAGAGUAGAGACAAGGAGAGAACCAAAUCAAUUCGGACCACACCGA
RNAcentral lists this small RNA (605 nucleotides) under Arabidopsis thaliana (thale cress). RNAcentral describes it as "ATSL016810". Lineage: Eukaryota; Viridiplantae; Streptophyta; Magnoliopsida; Brassicales; Brassicaceae. The record is from RNAcentral.